CCUACGGGAGACAGCAGUGAGGAAUAUUGGUCAAUGGCCGGAAGGCUGAACCAGCCAUGCCGCGUGAAGGUCAGUGCCCCAUGGGCGUUAAACUUCUUUUGUGCGGGAGCAAUAAUGGUCACGUGUGGCCAGACGAGAGUACCGUACGAAUAAGCAUCGGCUAACUCCGUGCCAGCUGCCGCGGUAAUACGGGGGAUGCAAGCGUUAUCCGGAUUUUUUGGGUUUAAAGGGUGCGUAGGCUGGGAGGUAAGUCAGCGGUGAAAUGCCCCGGCUCAACGGGGUGAAGUGCCAUUGAUAAUGCCUUGCUGGAGUGCGGAAGCGGUAGGAGGAAUGUGUGGUGUAGCGGUGAAAUGCAUAGAUAUCACACAGAACACCGAUUGCGAAGGCAUCUCACG
RNAcentral lists this ribosomal RNA (395 nucleotides) under uncultured bacterium. RNAcentral describes it as "partial 16S ribosomal RNA". It matches the Rfam family "Bacterial small subunit ribosomal RNA", at positions 338 to 730 of the family's 1533-position model. The record is from RNAcentral.